Nicotiana tabacum (common tobacco) is the source of this 565-nucleotide non-coding RNA. The record is from RefSeq and is a predicted model, not a curated record. NCBI's taxonomy places the organism in Eukaryota, Viridiplantae, Streptophyta, Magnoliopsida, Solanales, Solanaceae.
GCCAUUCAAAGUAAUGGCCAGUAAAGGUUAAAAAAUUAAGUCUAUUUCUAUUGGUUUUAUUCUCCCUCCAACUUUUUGCUGUAAAAUAUUCCCUCCCUCCAAGUUGCAAAUAGAUCUUCUCUGCUAUAGCAAACCGUAAUAUUGAGCAAACUUCUCUCUCUCUCUCUCUCUAUCAUCGUUGUCAGUGCCUAACUCAUCUCUCUCACCAUCACCGGCCACCAUCACCAGGAGAAUUCACAAUAUAGAGAUGUUUCUUAUGCAUUUACAUUAUGUUGUCUUGUCCCAUACUCUAAUAAAGCACAAAUAUAAAUCCAACAUUGAUAGGCUAGUCAGACAAGUUCUUGGAGCAUUGGAACACUGCUUGAAUUAUAUUUUGAACUGGAGGUACACUUUUUUCUGCUGGUGAAGAGAGAUUGGAUUGCGAAAAGUGGCCAGGAAAGCAAGUAGGGUCACAAAGCAGGUGAAGAGAGAUCGGAUUAAGUUGCUCAUUCAAGCUGUGUACUUCUUUUUUGGUGUUGACACUGUAAAAGCUAUGAAUUUAUCAUUUUUGUUUGUAUAUGUGAUG